This 305-nucleotide ribosomal RNA is filed under the name uncultured bacterium. Its description in RNAcentral is "bacterial SSU rRNA". It matches the Rfam family "Bacterial small subunit ribosomal RNA", at positions 338 to 661 of the family's 1533-position model. The record is from RNAcentral.
CCUACGGGGCGCAGCAGUGGGGAAUAUUGCACAAUGGGCGAAAGCCUGAUGCAGCAACGCCGCGUGAGCGAUGAAGGCCUUCGGGUCGUAAAGCUCUGUCCUCAAGGAAGAUAAUGGCGGUACUUGAGGAGGAAGCCCCGGCUAACUACGUGCCAGCAGCCGCGGUAAUACGUAGGGGGCUAGCGUUAUCCGGAAUUACUGGGCGUAAAGGGGGCGUAGGUGGUUUCUUAAGUCAGAGGUGAAAGUCUACGGCUCAACCGUAGUAAGACUUUGAAACUGGGGGACUUUAGUGCAGGAUUGGCGAG